This is a long non-coding RNA of Papaver somniferum (opium poppy), 1347 nucleotides long. RefSeq lists it as uncharacterized. NCBI's taxonomy places the organism in Eukaryota, Viridiplantae, Streptophyta, Magnoliopsida, Ranunculales, Papaveraceae. The record is from RefSeq and is a predicted model, not a curated record. The transcript is spliced from 3 exons.
AAUCUUGGGGAAUUUGAAGUUUUACGCUGAUGCUGAUGAAAUUUCGGCUUUAACAUUCAUUUUGGUGACAUCCAAUUAGAAAAUCUCAGCUCUACAUCCAAAAAUACCUCGUUCCAGAUUUGCAAAUAAGAAUUUUUUUGAAGCUAAUCUCGAUGCUUAGAGCAACUCAUACGGCGUGGAGCUAAAACCAUCCAUAACUCAAUGACUCCAUAUAUAUUCGCGGACCCUCAGGAUUUUGUGGAGUCAAAAGCUACUGUGGUAAAACUAAACUGAUUCUCCUCCAUCCGACUACUCCAAUGUCCGGAUACCCAUACGACCACCCAAUGUCCGGAUACCCAUCCGACCACCCAAUGACCGGAUAACAUUUCCUUUUUAAUUUAACAAAAAACUCACAAAAAGCUUCUUUCCUUCCAUUUUUCAUCGAGAAAAAAAUGGUUCUUCCCGAGUUUCGCCUUCUCUGAUUUAUCUUCAGUUUCGUUGAUUUACUGCUCUGAUUCAUCUUGGUUUAUUGCUUCUUGGAGAAAACAAAUCCAAAAUAUUCUCUACUUCUUCAUAGAAGAUCUCCAAUGUCAUCAGAAGUACGAUUGGAGCAUGACCGUUCCAAAUUCUGAUGGUGAUCCGAUGUCUAUCCCAGUUAGUCCUCGUGUUCCUAACACCUCAUGGAGCGUAGACAUGCAUCCAUUGUACUGUUGUUGUGAAUGCCCACUACUUUCUUUGUAGUUGUUUGACAAACUUAAGUCAUUUUCACGGGCCUAACAAAUCCGGGGAAGCCUACCCAUUUAAGAUCUUCAAACGGUACAAAAUGGAUUGGUGGGCGUAUUAGCAUCGAUGUUAAAUUUGACAGUGUUUAUUUUGGAUCUGGUAUCUUUGUGAAAUGAACUUUAUGCAAACUAGUUUCUGUAUCUGUGAAGGGAUUCAAUUUGCUUCAUUAUUGAACAAUUUGCUUCAUUACUGAACUGUCCUGCAAUGACUUCAUAUUAUGAGUGGAUAUGUAGAUAAUCCUUUAGCUGAAAUCUGUUUGUGAGGGUAUCCAAUGGCUCAUCUGAAUUCAUUAACAUACCAAUGCAUGAGGCGCUUCGCGAAGACUUAUGUGCACAUAUUUGGGCAAGGCAUGGGGCAGAGGAGGCAAACUGAAUUCUGGAAACUGCAAUUUUUGUUGCUGUUGCGUCUCUGUUUAUUGUGGCUAGCACUUGUAGUAGAAAUUCUCGCUCUGUAUGCAUUCAGUCUGUGAUCAUGUUGUCUUAUGCUCAGUUCGAGAAGUUGAAUUCAUUUCUGAAGUAUAUAUACAUCCAGAAGUCUAGUUGGAUACUGUUGGGUUUUAAUCUUGUAAUUCCAUAUUUUGUGGCA